CCCGCCGGCGACCGGCGCACGGGUGAGUAACACGUAUGCAACCUGGCCGCCACAGGGGGAUAACCCGCGGAAACGCGGCCUAAUACCCCGUGACGCCACCGGAGGGCAUCCUCCGGUGGCCAAAGGAGCGAUCCGGUGGCGGAUGGGCAUGCGGCGCAUUAGCUAGACGGUGGGGUGACGGCCCACCGUGGCGACGAUGCGUAGGGGUUCUGAGAGGAAGGCCCCCCACACUGGGACUGAGACACGGCCCAGACUCCUACGGAAGGCAGCAG
RNAcentral lists this ribosomal RNA (272 nucleotides) under uncultured bacterium. Its description in RNAcentral is "partial 16S ribosomal RNA". It matches the Rfam family "Bacterial small subunit ribosomal RNA", at positions 84 to 354 of the family's 1533-position model. The record is from RNAcentral.